UGAUUACUGUUAAUAAAUUCUUCCUUCCUUUCUUUUUUUAGCACCAGGGAUUGAACCCAGGGCCUUGCAUAUGAUAAGCAAGCGAUCCACCACUGAACCACAUCCCUAGUCUUCAUAAAUAAUUUCUUAAACAUUAUUUUAAGGCACUAUCAAAUAUAGAGUCUUACUUACCAUACUGGGAAAGAUGAAAUUUAUCAUUGUGCCAUAAAUGCCCUGGAAAGCAAAGAAAAUAUUAUUAUUUAUUAUACCUCCAUCCACAGGGAUCCUAAGUGCCAAAUGUAAUGCAUCAGCCGCAAAACAAAAAUGAGGUAAGAGAAGGAAAAGAAAAUAAUCAAAGACAAAGCACGAUCUGACAUAUGAGGAAAAGAAACUUUGGUCAAGCUUCGGCAGUAUAACAAUUCUAAUGAGAAGUGAAAGCAUGAUAUGUUACAUUGGUGAUACCGCUUGGGUGACUAUUAACCAUCUACAUUGUUGGACGAGUCAUCACUUUAGCAUUUUGCGAAAAACUGGAGCAUCUUUGGCAUAUAUGGAGAUGUACGACUGAAGCAGUACUGACUCACAUAUAGAACUUAAGGGGAAAGACCAAAAAGCAUCAUGGCCCCCUCUCUCUUACCACCAUCAGUUCAGAAAAGUGCAAGACGUUCAGUCAAAAUUUGCUUCCAAUUCAGAGGUAAGAGCGAUACAUGAUUAUAUAGACAAACAUGCUAUUUUUUUAGCAAAACUAAAUGAUAAAAUUUGAUUCGAUUAUUUUUUGAAAAGCUGUUAUCAAAAUCAUUACGAUUUAUAUAAAUGAUAGCCCUUUGAAUCUUUUAGUAUGAUACUUUUCUAUAUUAAUCUAUACAACUUGGGGUGGACAGUACAUUUUUCCCAACUUUGCAAGAAUCAUAAAUUCUCCAAAUUUGCUUUAUUGAUUCAUAGGUCCUGCAUGAUCUUUUCUUGUAUGGCUUGAAGUAGCUCAUGGUUGAUUUUGGCAUAGCGUGC
RNAcentral lists this long non-coding RNA (981 nucleotides) under Fukomys damarensis (Damara mole-rat). RNAcentral describes it as "lncRNA (ENSFDAG00000022223.1)". The record is from RNAcentral. Lineage: Eukaryota; Metazoa; Chordata; Mammalia; Rodentia; Bathyergidae.